This is a long non-coding RNA of Gavialis gangeticus (Gharial), 427 nucleotides long. RefSeq lists it as uncharacterized. The transcript is spliced from 3 exons. Lineage: Eukaryota; Metazoa; Chordata; Crocodylia; Gavialidae. The record is from RefSeq and is a predicted model, not a curated record.
AGGGCCAAUUGAGACAGGUUGUGGAAAGGGGAACAGUUAAAUUUGUAAUUUUGGUUGUGUGAAACACUUCUUUGGGCCUCAUAAACAACCACAGAACCACAAGCUGGGUACAGAGGCAGUCACACAAGAGCGGGUCCGGGAUAUUGGUCAGCAGACAGGGCAAAUCGUUUUGACUGCAAACCACAGAGUUUCAUAGAGUGGUGAAAGAAAUUAUAUAUUCCCCCACUUUAAAGAGAGAGUAAGUUUUAAAGAGGAAACUAUGGCUUCAAACAGCAUAUUUGAGUCAUUUCCUUCUUACCAACAGUGCUUCGUAAGAGAUGGCAAUCUGUCAUUGGGGAUCUCCUCCAUAACACCUGUGUGUUAGCAGUAUUCUUUGCAUGGAAGGCCGACCUUCAAAUAAGGUAUAUCAAGUGCAUAAUGAAGAGUA